UGAACGCUAGCGGCAGGCUUAACACAUGCAAGUCGAGGGGUAAGGCUCUUUCGGGAGUACACGACCGGCGCACGGGUGAGUAACGCGUAUGCAACCUACCUUUAACUGGGGAAUAGCCCGAAGAAAUUCGGAUUAAUACCGCAUAAUAUCAAGUUUUCGCAUGAUUAUUUGAUAAAAACUCCGGUGGUUAGAGAUGGGCAUGCGUGACAUUAGAUUGUUGGUGAGGUAACGGCUCACCAAGUCUACGAUGUCUAGGGGGUCUGAGAGGAUGGUCCCCCACACUGGUACUGAGACACGGACCAGACUCCUACGGGAGGCAGCAGUGAGGAAUAUUGGGCAAUGGACGCAAGUCUGACCCAGCCAUGCCGCGUGCAGGAUGACUGCCCUAUGGGUUGUAAACUGCUUUUAUACGGGAAGAACUCCCUCAACGUGUUGAGGGCUGACGGUACCGUAAGAAUAAGCAUCGGCUAACUCC
RNAcentral lists this ribosomal RNA (475 nucleotides) under uncultured bacterium. Its description in RNAcentral is "bacterial SSU rRNA". It matches the Rfam family "Bacterial small subunit ribosomal RNA", at positions 30 to 504 of the family's 1533-position model. The record is from RNAcentral.